This 199-nucleotide ribosomal RNA is filed under the name uncultured bacterium. RNAcentral describes it as "partial 16S ribosomal RNA". It matches the Rfam family "Bacterial small subunit ribosomal RNA", at positions 326 to 539 of the family's 1533-position model. The record is from RNAcentral.
ACGCUCGACACUACGGGAGCAGCAGUGGGGAAUAUUGGGCAAUGGGCGAAAGCCUGACCCAGCAACGCCGCGUGAGGGAAGAAGGUUUUCGGAUUGUAAACCUCUGUCCUCAGGGACGAAGGACGUGACGGUACCUGAGGAGGAAGCCCCGGCUAACUACGUGCCAUCAGCCGCGGUAAUCUGAGCGGGCUGGCAAGGC